RNAcentral lists this ribosomal RNA (497 nucleotides) under uncultured bacterium. RNAcentral's name for it is "partial 16S ribosomal RNA". It matches the Rfam family "Bacterial small subunit ribosomal RNA", at positions 28 to 507 of the family's 1533-position model. The record is from RNAcentral.
GAUGAACGCUGGCGGCGUGCCUAAUACAUGCAAGUCGAGCGAACAGACGAGGAGCUUGCUCCUCUGACGUUAGCGGCGGACGGGUGAGUAACACGUGGAUAACCUACCUAUAAGACUGGGAUAACUUCGGGAAACCGGAGCUAGUACCGGAUAAUAUAUUGAACCGCAUGGUUCAAUAGUGAAAGACGGUUUUGCUGUCACUUAUAGAUGGAUCCGCGCCGCAUUAGCUAGUUGGUAAGGUAACGGCUUACCAAGGCAACGAUGCGUAGCCGACCUGAGAGGGUGAUCGGCCACACUGGAACUGAGACACGGUCCAGACUCCUACGGGAGGCAGCAGUAGGGAAUCUUCCGCAAUGGGCGAAAGCCUGACGGAGCAACGCCGCGUGAGUGAUGAAGGUCUUCGGAUCGUAAAACUCUGUUAUUAGGGAAGAACAAAUGUGUAAGUAACUAUGCACGUCUUGACGGUACCUAGUCAGAAAGCCACGGCUAACUACGUG